GAAAAAGAACAGUUUAAAUAAGCUGAACCCCUUAUUGAUGAAGAGAUAGAGUUAACACAGGGAUUUACCAAUUGAACUCAGAGAUUUUAACCAGCUUAUCAAAGCUAAUUAAAAUGGGGUUGUGAUAUUGAAAAUAUAGCAAGAGAAGAAGAGGGAAAAAGCUUACGGGAGGUCCUUGAAUACUCAACUGUGUUCUGGGAAAAACGCAAUGAGCUCCAGGACAUAGACAAGAUUAUGGCUCAGAGUGAAAGGGAGAGAUAAGAAUUCAGAGAAUAAUUUGCAUCAGAAAAGCACCUGACAAAAAGAUCAGAUGGUACAGAGCAUCUAGCACCUUUUCUUCAGCUGAGGAUAUCAUGGUACUAGUAUAACAGAGGGAAAAACUGUACUGAGGAAGAGGAUCAUUCUGUACUUUGUGUGCUUGGAUUCAACAAGGAAAAUAUUUAUGAUGAAAUGCAAUAGUGUAAUCACAACUCUCCUCAGUUCAGAU
RNAcentral lists this long non-coding RNA (487 nucleotides) under Homo sapiens (human). RNAcentral's name for it is "non-protein coding lnc-FGL2-5:1". The record is from RNAcentral. Lineage: Eukaryota; Metazoa; Chordata; Mammalia; Primates; Hominidae.